This 496-nucleotide ribosomal RNA is filed under the name uncultured bacterium. Its description in RNAcentral is "partial 16S ribosomal RNA". It matches the Rfam family "Bacterial small subunit ribosomal RNA", at positions 28 to 506 of the family's 1533-position model. The record is from RNAcentral.
GAUGAACGCUGGCGGCGUGCCUAAUACAUGCAAGUCGAGCGAACGGACGAGAAGCUUGCUUCUCUGAUGUUAGCGGCGGACGGGUGAGUAACACGUGGAUAACCUACCUAUAAGACUGGGAUAACUUCGGGAAACCGGAGCUAAUACCGGAUAAUAUUUUGAACCGCAUGGUUCAAAAGUGAAAGACGGUCUUGCUGUCACUUAUAGAUGGAUCCGCGCUGCAUUAGCUAGUUGGUAAGGUAACGGCUUACCAAGGCAACGAUGCAUAGCCGACCUGAGAGGGUGGUCGGCCCACCUGGAACUGGGACCCGGUCCAGCCCCCUACGGGGGGCCGCAGUAGGGAAUCUUCCGCAAGGGGCGAAAGCCUGACGGAGAAACGCCGCGGGAGUGAUGAAGGUCUUCGGUUUGUAAAACUCUUUUUUUGGGGAAGAACAUAUGUUUAAGUAACUGUGCCCAUCUUGACGGUACCUAAUCAGAAAGCCCCGGCUAACUACGU